Molecule: ribosomal RNA, 58 nt
Filed under: uncultured bacterium
Lineage: Bacteria
Description: partial 16S ribosomal RNA
Source: RNAcentral
GGCCCAACCCGUUCGUAGGAGGGAGGACGUGUCGAAGGUGGGAUCGGCGAUUGGGGUG